Molecule: ribosomal RNA, 439 nt
Filed under: uncultured bacterium
Lineage: Bacteria
Description: partial 16S ribosomal RNA
Rfam family: Bacterial small subunit ribosomal RNA
Source: RNAcentral
CUACGGGCGGCAGCAGUGGGGAAUAUUGCACAAUGGGGGAAACCCUGAUGCAGCAACGCCGCGUGGAGGAUGACGCAUUUCGGUGUGUAAACUCCUUUUAUAUCCCAAGAUAAUGACGGUAGGAUAUGAAUAAGCACCGGCUAACUCCGUGCCAGCAGCCGCGGUAAUACGGAGGGUGCAAGCGUUACUCGGAAUCACUGGGCGUAAAGGGCGCGUAGGCGGGUUGUCAAGUCCUGAGUGAAAUCCAACGGCUCAACCGUUGAACUGCUUGAGAAACUGGCAGCCUAGAGUAAGGGAGAGGUAGAUGGAAUUGGUGGUGUAGGGGUAAAAUCCGUAGAGAUCACCAGGAAUACCCAUUGCGAAGGCGAUCUGCUGGAACUUUACUGACGCUGAGGCGCGAAAGCGUGGGGAGCAAACAGGAUUAGAUACCCCGGUAGUC